AUUGAACGCUGGCGGCAUGCCUUACACAUGCAAGUCGAACGGCAGCACGGGAGCAAUCCUGGUGGCGAGUGGCGAACGGGUGAGUAAUAUAUCGGAACGUGCCCAGUCGUGGGGGAUAACGUAGCGAAAGCUACGCUAAUACCGCAUACGAUCUACGGAUGAAAGCGGGGGAUCGCAAGACCUCGCGCGAUUGGAGCGGCCGAUAUCAGAUUAGGUAGUUGGUGAGGUAAAGGCUCACCAAGCCGACGAUCUGUAGCUGGUCUGAGAGGACGACCAGCCACACUGGGACUGAGACACGGCCCAGACUCCUACGGGAGUCAGCAGUGGGGAAUUUUGGACAAUGGGCGCAAGCCUGAUCCAGCAAUGCCGCGUGCAGGAUGAAGGCCUUCGGGUUGUAAACUGCUUUUGUACGGAACGAAACGGUGAGCUCUAAUACAGUUUGCUAAUGACGGUACCGUAAGAAUAAGCACCGGCUAACUACGUGCCAGCCGCCGCCGUAA
This 500-nucleotide ribosomal RNA is filed under the name uncultured bacterium. Its description in RNAcentral is "partial 16S ribosomal RNA". It matches the Rfam family "Bacterial small subunit ribosomal RNA", at positions 30 to 523 of the family's 1533-position model. The record is from RNAcentral.